GAAGGAUGCAGCUGGUGCAUGUCCUCUGCGGUGUCGCCCAGGCAACAUGGGGAAGUCCUCAGGACCGCAAGCCCUAGUGAAUACGGAGCACGCAUUCUGUGUGCGCACGGGUCUCACCUCUCUGUGGAAGCUAUGGCGGCACUCCAGCACGCACACGUCCUCAGGGGCCAUCUCCUCGUGGCAGAUAAUGCAGGGGUCCUCCAUGUUCAGCUGCCAGUGAGAGCAACAAGUCUGCCAUCACUCACCAUGCGAGACGUUCUUCGGGAUUUGAUGGAGGAGGAGCAGGAGCGCUGGGUACCGAGAUGAGAGGGAGAGACUCCAGUCUGUUGCCUGUGCUCACCAACUCCAUCUGCUCUUCAUAC
Electrophorus electricus (electric eel) is the source of this 362-nucleotide non-coding RNA. The record is from RefSeq and is a predicted model, not a curated record. Lineage: Eukaryota; Metazoa; Chordata; Actinopteri; Gymnotiformes; Gymnotidae.